This 3504-nucleotide long non-coding RNA is filed under the name Paramuricea clavata. The record is from RNAcentral. Lineage: Eukaryota; Metazoa; Cnidaria; Anthozoa; Malacalcyonacea; Plexauridae.
CUUGAGGAAAGACAACGAGCUGAAGCACGGGAAAGGAAAGAAAAAGGUGAAAAAUGGCAGACUAAGGUAUGGGAUCAAUGACAUAUUAUUCAUUUGUACUUUAAGAUGGCUAUCUACAGUUGUCUAAAAAAUUUUAGUAUUUUAGAUAAAACCCUCGUUUUCAACCAAAUAUAAUCAUUUCCAGGAAAGUUCAAAAGCUAGUUAGAGUCCUUAGUUCAAUGAGGUGGUUCGUAAUAGUGCUAAAGCACUUAUAAUCUUGUAGUCUUGUGCUGUCGAUAUAUGAACAAUAUCUUUUUUCCUUCGGUCAAUUUUUCAGAAAUGUUUUUGAGGAUUUAUGGUUGAUAGAGUAAUAACAUACAGUAUCAAAAUUUGUAGGGAGGUUUACAAGGCAGAUUUCGAGAUAUUCAUGAACAUAACGACUACAGAAAAUCUGUCUUGAUAUGUUUUGCUAAUUUAAUCGUCAUGCGUUGCAAAUAUGCAAAGUUAAAAAAAAUUCACCGAAGGAAACGCGAGAAAAAUAGCCCUAAAGUCCCGUUGAACCUGCUGCCGUGACAAAAUGUCCAUUCGACGUGAUCACUAAUCACUAUUUGCGUAUGCGUGCAAAUUAUAAUGCGUGAACAACACGAAACGCGUGUGGUUUAUAGUUGGUUUUUUUAGUAAUUUUCAAUUAUAUAUAUCAAACAGAUAUUUUUUUUACUUAUUUAAAAUGAAAGUAAAAGAUAUACAUUCAAAAUACGAAAGAUUGAGAACACAAUAACGCAUUGAAUUAAUCCAAAGUUUCAUAAGUUUAGUUUUGUUAAGUGAAAAUCGGUGUGAAAACUUUUCAAAACAUUCAGCUGGAGUUUGACUUUUCGUAUAAGACAACUCGUACUAUAGUUUUAUUAGAUUCAGCAGAUGACAGGAGCCUGGGUACGAGGUUGGACUUACGUUAGUUUCGGUGACAGUUGAGGAUAUAAAAUAUCAUUUCAGUUCGCGACACUGUCACUGUUGUUGAAAAUCGUGGGCUUUAUAUUAUAAAAUACAAUACGUUCAGUAUUGUAUUUUAUAAUAUAAAGCCCACGAUUUUCAACAACANNNNNNNNNNNNNNNNNNNNAACGUAUUAAAUACGUAAAACACACUGAAAAAUAGGUUAAAAACUAGUUAUCAACAUACGUACUGUUCGAAUUUUGAAAAGUUUAGGAUUAUAAUAAAAAACUGGCGUUUUCUUUGCAGAUAAAACUCAAAAACAUAUUCCCGCAAUCCCGCGCCUUGUUUCAAAAUAUUUACCGGGCCACGAAGAUUCCACGCGCGAAUCACGAGGAUGACGUCUGAUCUAUAUAAAUAUGUUUUAAACUGUAUUAUAACUGUAGGGAGCCACCUCAAGAAUACUUCUAUUAUAAACUUUUGUUGGUUAGCACUGCCUUAUUAACGCCCUCACAACAAUUGCCGUGCUAUAUCUAAGACAAGACGCUGCUUUAUUUUCUCAGGAUUUUUCUUGUAAAACACUGUAGGUGUCCACGGGCCUCGAAAAUCCUGGAAAGUCCUUGAAUUGGGAAAAAAAAUUACAGGACUGGAAAGUCCUUGAAAAUCAGUAGAAGUCCUGAAAGUCCUGGAAUUAAUUUCCUUAACUUAAUUAAUUUCCCCAGCUGUGCCAACAUUAGUGAUUUUGAUUAGAAUUACUAAAUAAAGUGACUUAUUUACGGCAAAUCCGUGCCAUUUUCAAAGAUUUUUCCCAGUUCUAGGUCCUUGAGUUUACUGAAAAAGGGCCUUGAAAGUCCUGGAAAAGUCCUUGAAUUUCACCUUCACCAAAGGGUGGACACCCUGAAAACAAUAUUUUUGUUGUUUUUUGAUCAUCAUAUUUGUUUAAAAUCGGCUCCCCCAAUAUAAAUAACCCUCUAAAUUUCAGUUAGCUACCAUUAGAAUUUUCAAGGUAGAAAUUUGCUUCAAAUAAUUAUCGUAGACCAAGUUGUCAAAUUAUUUUUUUUGUAACGUAGUUUUCCUACGACUCUUUCCUACACUAGCUUUUCCACGAAGGCAAUGAUCUGUGGACAUACGAUGCAGCUCUCUCAACACGUCUCAAGGGACAAACCUGCACAGAGAAGUAAUUAUCACGUUACAUUGGACCAUUUGCAUUAUAGACUAAAUUUUGAUCUAGACAAAAAUUUCAUCACAGCUUGAAAGAACAUCACAAAAUUAGUAAUAUUCCAAAGUUUCGUUGCGAAAUGUUGUAAAAUGCGGAUAAUAUAGCCCUGCGAAGUUUGCCGUUUUUCAGUCAUUUUGUAGUACACACGGGAAAUAAUUUUGUAUUACACACGGGCAUCAAUUUCCCAUUUGUAAUACAAAAUGACUGAAAAUUGCAAAUUUCGCAAGGCUAUGUUAUCCGCAUUUUACAACAUUUCGCAACGAAACUUUGGAAUAUUACUAAUUUUGUGAUGCUCUUUCAAGUUGUGAUGAAAUUUUUGUCUAGACCAAAAUUUAGUCUAUAAUGCAAAUGGUCCAUAUACAGGGUGUAUAAAAAAAAGAAAGAAGACCUUUAGAAAUUAACCCUAUUGUUAUAAUUUGAAUGCUAUAAGCACUACGCUGAACACAAGAGUGCGAAAACACAAUUGAUUGAAUUUUUAAUUACCUGGAGCAAAAUACAGUAUUGUGAAUUACCAGGAGCAAAAUAUAUUGUGCUUUAACAACAAUAGAUUAAUUUCUAAAGGUCUCCCUUUUUAUGAUAUACACCCUGUAGUAGUAUCUUAUUAAUAUACCUUAUUCCCAUCACAAUGUCAUAGCCUAUUUUCAUUAAUAUUAUCUACUUCUUACCGUUAAGUCUGGUCUUAGCUACUGGACCAAAAUAUAAGUAACUGUUUUUGAUAUAGUUUCUGCAUGAAAUUGCCCUUUGAAUAUUUUUGUUAAAAUUAGAUUUUGGUAUAUUAUAGAUAUUAGAAUGAAUCCGUAUUGUCAGUUUCUAUGACAAUAAUUUUAAAACGGAUAUUAACCAAGGCUAAUAUUUGAAUAAGAUUAUGUUAACUCUAAUAAACGCCUCGUACCCAGUGCUUUAUGUUAAACUCACGUUAAAUGUGCACGGGGCUGGUCGGGGAGGUCUAUAGUGAAUUUGUUCAUGUAGUCAUCCCCUUGUCAUCCUCAUCACGCCUUUCGGCGCGAAACACUUCUUAUAUGUAGAGGCCUGGGUACGAGACGUUGGUAAAGUCUUUUUGAAAAUUCCUGAAAUUAGAAAUGUACGAUGUGCAUUAAUAUUUAUACCAUGCAUUUAUAAUAUAUUUGAACGUGGGGAAAGCUCAUAGAUACUUGUAUAUCUUUUUUUACGCCACUUUGCUGCACAACGUAUGAAGCAAACAUGUGAAAUCGGACAAGAAUUCAAUUAUAGUUGUUUCAUUCAAGUUAAUUUAAAAUUGCUAGUUUCACAUUUGUUGUCACAUUUUACAUUAAUAACAAAUAAUGUAAAUAUUUAUGUAAUUAAUGUAAAUAUUUAUAGUGAAACGAAUUCCACAAUAAUACUGAAUAAUAUAAUGUUAGAU